Molecule: long non-coding RNA, 2653 nt
Organism: Anolis carolinensis (green anole)
Lineage: Eukaryota; Metazoa; Chordata; Lepidosauria; Squamata; Anolidae
Exons: 2
Source: RefSeq, a predicted model, not a curated record
GGCAAAGGAGGUCAGUUCAGCCAAUGAUCCAACAGAUUUUGAGGGGCUGUACCAGGAGAGAUGAAUUAACUUUACAGAGCAACAUGUUAUGGGCAUAUAGCAUUUCACUCACUAUUGGAAGGUGUGAAGCCAGCUCUUCAGAUCAAGCUGCUGCCAGCCAUGGGGAAUGGCACCUUGGGAGACAAUCUGCCUCUGUAUGCCUCUGUCUUUACUCAUUAGAAAGGGAAAACAGACUCAAGGUUCAGUAAAGUGCUUUGAAGAUCCCUCGAGGCAGCUAGAAUCACAGGACUAAGAUCCCCGAUUAGAUGGGAAUGCAUGCAUCAAUUUGAUAACAUUGCAGUCAGUACUGAACAGGACCACUUUCACUCCAACUCCUCCACUGUGGGAUUCUUCAGGCACCUACUGUUUUCAGACAGAUGUAUAGGUGCAUGGAUGGAUUAUUCCCACUGGAGCAGAUUGACUCCCUUCCACAUGUGAAGACUGCCUUGCACUUGUGUAAGCCCAGCUUACGGGCAUGCAGGACUCUAUUUUCUUCUUCUUGUGCUCAACUCAAAAGCCUCUCAUCCUUGGCAGCUCUGGGGGAAGUAGAAAUGCAUAUCAGACAAUGAAGAAUUGGCUGCUCUUGGCUCGCAGAGGAAGGAAAAAGCAGGCUACAUCCAUUUGAAAAGGCAGCCAUAUUUCUGCCCCAUAACUGUUCUAAUAUCAGCUUGGAAUUACUCUUCCACUUCCCAUGAUAAAUAACAACAGCAGGAGGCCCUUCAGGGUUCUGCCAUACUGACAGAGGAUACAAAACAGUUUUGGCGCAUAUAGAAUCUCAGCCAAUCCCAGUGCAAAUGAUAAUCCUCAAAUUAUUUAAACUUACAUUUUGUCUUUCCCCUAGUAAUAUCAAGAAGGUAUACAUAGUUUUCCCCCUUUACAUUUCAUAUUCGUAUCAAUCCUUUGAGGAAAAAAAGGGAGUAAGCAGCUCAAAGUUGUCCACCAAGUGUUAUGGUUCAGCAGAAACCAUAAACCAAAUUUUCCACAUCCCGGUAUAACACUAUAAUCACAAGAUGACCUUGGCUCUCUGAGACUGAGCUCUUUGACCUUUAUGUAUUAUCUGCUACAACUUGCAUAUGUGCCAUAAGCUCACCAAAGACAAUUCAUGAGAUCACAAUGCUUCCCUAUUUAUUCUUUAUAGGCCAUCUAAGGAUGUGUUACUUGGGGAUUGCUUCUUUCCUAUUUAUACUUCAGGGCCAAAUUAGGGUCACAUAAAGAGUUGGGUCUGUGCUGAUAUUGGGGGCAAUCAAUAUUUGUUCCUCAGUGGUUUCCCCCUAGUAUGCAAUCUUGGAUUUAGAUUAAAUAAAUGUGAACCUGGCAGGGAUGAAGCAAUCCAGUUUCUGAUUAAAGUUUCAAACUCUCAAAUGAGCUAAAGCUAGAUGAUUUUCCAGUGUAACCAAUGACCCUAUGAAUCAAAGUGACAAUAGCAGGGACAAUGAGCAAAAGGGCUGACCAUCUGUGAGCCAGAUUCUGACACGUCACUGAAACACUGCUAGCCCUGAAACACAGGACCAGUGUCAUCCAUACGUAUUCUCACACUUGAGGUGAAAAAUUAGAAUUAUACGAUUUAUGUAUAUGUGUUAUGGCACAAUUUUGAAUUUUCACUUCAGGUGUCAAAAUACUUGUAUGUCAAGGGUGACAUACAGAUAUCAUAUCAGGGCAAAACAGGAUUUGCACAAAGGAUAAACACAGCAAGGAGUGACAGCCCAUCACAGAUCUCAAACUGUAUAAUCCAAACACAGUUCCUGUAUUCCAACUUCACGUUCCCAUCCAAAGUUGACAAAUUCAGGAAGGUUUGUUGUAGGGUGAGUACAGAAAAGGAAGCAGCUGAAAAGACAUUUAGUCUGUCAGUUUUGGAAGAAAAACCUUUGGCUCCUCCGGCUGUGACCUGGUGGGUAGAUUCUCCUUAAAAAGGGCAGACUUUUCUGUUUUGCUGUGGCCAUGAGAAAGUGAACUGUUUCAAUGGUUUUUCUCCAGACCUCAAGGUGUCAUUUCCUUCCUCCCCUUUUCUUUCCCUGGCAAAAAUGCAUCUUUUCUCCAACACAGACCUAGAAACUGUCAAUGGGCAAUGAAUUCUAAGUGCCCAUAAACUCCAGGGGCAGUGACAGCUGGAAAUGACCUUGCAGCUGCCCGAAACCAUAACUCUCCCAGCUGGAAGUGCCGUUUCUAGGCAUCUCAAGAAGUGUGUGUGUGUGUGUAUGUGUGUGUGUGUAUCUUCAAGCUGCCUGUUGACUUCUGGCAACCUUGUGGACUUUAUAGCAUUUUAAAAGGAAAGGAAUACACAAGGUGGUUUUGCAAGUUCCUCUCUCAGGAAUAUAGCCUACAGCACCUGGUAGUUCUUGGUGGUCAUCCAUGCAAGUACUAACCAGGUCCAAGUCUGCAUAAUUUCCAAGAUCAGAUGAGAUCCCGUUCUCUCUGGGUAUUUAGAUGACUUCAUCUCAUAAAAGCUUUCAUAUUCCUGAUGUUUAAAGUGAAAUCAGCUGUUAUGAGGAAUUAUGGGGUAAGGUGGUGUCACUGAAGAGAAAAAAAAUCAUGAUCCUUCAUCCAAAUCCUUUUUUCCUAUUUACAUUAAAUGUCUAGGAAAGAAAAUAAAGAAAUAAACAUGCAGUGAACUAGA